UCCCGCUGAGCCCGAGAUCCCUGGAAUGUGUAAGCAGUCCUGCCUAAUUUCCCGCUGAGCCCCAGAUCCCUGGCAGGUGUAAGCAGUCCUGCCUAAUUUCCUGCUGAGCCCCAGAUCCCUGGCAUGUGUAAGCAGUCCUGCCUAAUUUCCCGUUGAGCCCCAGAUCCCUGGCAUGUGUAAGCAGUCCUGCCUAAUUUCCCGCUGAGCCCCAGAUCUCUGGCAUGUGUAAGCAGUCCUGCCUAAUUUCCUGCUGAGCCCCAGAUCCCUGGCAUGUGUAAGCAGUCCUGCCUAAUUUCCCGUUGAGCCCCAGAUCCCUGGCAUGUGUAAGCAGUCCUGCCUAAUUUCCCGCUGAGCCCCAGAUCUCUGGCAUGUGUAAGCAGUCCCGCCUAAUUUGCAAC
This is a long non-coding RNA of Brienomyrus brachyistius, 398 nucleotides long. RefSeq lists it as uncharacterized. Lineage: Eukaryota; Metazoa; Chordata; Actinopteri; Osteoglossiformes; Mormyridae. The record is from RefSeq and is a predicted model, not a curated record. The transcript has 3 exons.